GCCAGCUUAGCUCAGAUGGUAGAGCAACUGAUUCGUAAUCAGUAGGUCGGGAGUUCAAUUCUCCCAGCUGGCUCCA
RNAcentral lists this transfer RNA (76 nucleotides) under Desulfovibrio desulfuricans. RNAcentral describes it as "tRNA-Thr". It matches the Rfam family "tRNA". From Rfam's summary of the family: Transfer RNA (tRNA) molecules are approximately 80 nucleotides in length. Their secondary structure includes four short double-helical elements and three loops (D, anti-codon, and T loops). RNAcentral also lists the same sequence under 5 other names. The record is from RNAcentral. Lineage: Bacteria; Pseudomonadati; Thermodesulfobacteriota; Desulfovibrionia; Desulfovibrionales; Desulfovibrionaceae.